GUGAUGGAAGGUGUCUUUAAGAAAUAGAAUGUGUCUGUGAUGGAAGGUGUCUUUAAACAAUAGAAUGUGUCUGUGAUGGAAGGCGUGGUGUCUUUAAACAAUAGAAUGUGUCUGUGAUGGAAGGUGUCUUUAAACAAUAGAAUGUGUCUGUGAUGGAAGGUGUUUUUAAACAAUAGAAUGUGUCUGUGAUGGAAGGUGUCUUUAAGAAAUAGAAUGUGUCUGUGAUGGAAGGUGUCUUUAAACAAUAGAAUGGGUCUGUGAUGGAAGGUGUGGUGUCUUUAAACAAUAGAAUGUGUCUGUGAUGGAAGGUGUGGUGCCUUUAAACAAUAGAAUGUGUCUGUGAUGGAAGGUGUGGUGCCUUUAAACAAUAGAAUGUGUCUAUGAUGGAAGGUGUGUUGCCUUUAAACAAUAGAAUGUGUCUGUGAUGGAAGGUGUGUUGCCUUUAAACAAUAGAAUGUGUCUGUGAUGGAAGGUGCCUUUAAACAAUAGACUGUGUCUGUGAUGGAAGGUGUCUUUAAACAAUAGAAUGUGUCUGUGAUGGAAGGUGUGGUGUCUUUAAACAAUAGAAUGUGUCUGUGAUGGAAGGUGUGGUGUCUUUAAACAAUAGAAUGUGUCUGUGAUGGAAGGUGUGGUGUCUUUAAACAAUAGAAUGUGUCUGUGAUGGAAGGUGUGGUGCCUUUAAACAAUAGAAUGUGUCUGUGAUGGA
Molecule: long non-coding RNA, 706 nt
Organism: Oncorhynchus tshawytscha (Chinook salmon)
Lineage: Eukaryota; Metazoa; Chordata; Actinopteri; Salmoniformes; Salmonidae
Source: Ensembl